Molecule: ribosomal RNA, 408 nt
Filed under: uncultured bacterium
Lineage: Bacteria
Description: partial 16S ribosomal RNA
Rfam family: Bacterial small subunit ribosomal RNA
Source: RNAcentral
GACGAACGCUGGCGGCGUGCUUAACACAUGCAAGUCGAACGAAGUGGCGAACGGGUGAGUAACGCGUAAUCAACCUGCCCUUCAGAGGGGGACAACAGUGGGAAACGACAGCUAAUACCGCAUAAUGAAGGAGGGGAUUGCGUCGGAUUAGCUAGUGGGAGGGGUAACGGCCCACCAAGGCGAGGAAGAGUAGCCGGUCUGAGAGAAUGAACGGCCACAUGUGGACUGGGACACGGCCCAGACUCCUACGGGAGGCAGCAGUGGGGAAUCUGCCGCAAUGGCCGAAAGUCUGACGGAGCAACGCCGCGUGAGUGAUGACGGCCUUCGGGUUGUAAAGCUCUGUUAAUCGGGACGCGGUACCGGAAUAGAAAGCCACGGCUAACUACGUGCCAGCAGCCGCGGUAAUAC